UGAGCAAUCUGCCCUUCUCAUCGGAAUAACCAUUGGAAACGAUGGCUAAUGCCGAAUAUGACCUCGGAUCACAUGUUCUGAGGUGGAAAGCUCCGGCGGAGAAGGAUGAGCUCGCGGCCUAUCAGCUUGUCGGUGAGGUAAUGGCUCACCAAGGCAUUGACGGGUAGCCGGCCUGAGAGGGUGACCGGCCACACUGGGACUGAGACACCGGCAGA
This 215-nucleotide ribosomal RNA is filed under the name uncultured bacterium. Its description in RNAcentral is "partial 16S ribosomal RNA". It matches the Rfam family "Bacterial small subunit ribosomal RNA", at positions 118 to 335 of the family's 1533-position model. The record is from RNAcentral.